UACGUAGGGAGCAAGCGUUGUCCGGAAUCAUUGGGCGUAAAGCGCGCGUAGGCGGCCUCAUAAGUCCGUUGUGAAAGUCAAAGGCUCAACCUUUGAAAGCCGAUGGAUACUGUGAGGCUAGAGUCCGGAAGAGGCGAGUGGAAUUCCUGGUGUAGCGGUGGAAUGCGCAGAUAUCAGGAGGAACACCAAGAGCGAAGGCAGCUCGCUGGGACGGUACUGACGCUAAGGCGCGAAAGCGUGGGGAGCGAACAGG
RNAcentral lists this ribosomal RNA (253 nucleotides) under uncultured bacterium. RNAcentral describes it as "partial 16S ribosomal RNA". It matches the Rfam family "Bacterial small subunit ribosomal RNA", at positions 524 to 776 of the family's 1533-position model. The record is from RNAcentral.